AGUGAACGCUGGCGGCAGGCCUAACACAUGCAAGUCGAGCGGAUGAAGGGAGCUUGUUCCUGGAUUCAGCGGCGGACGGGUGAGUAAUGCCUAUGAAUCUGCCUGGUAGUAGGGGAUAACGUCCGGAAACGGGCGCUAAUACCGCAUACGUCCUGAGGGAGAGAGUGGGGGAUCUUCGGACCUCACGCUAUCAGAUGAGCCUAGGUCGGAUUAGCUAGUUGGUGGGGUAAAGGCCUACCAAGGCGACGAUCCGUAACUGGUCUGAGAGGAUGAUCAGUCACACUGGAACUGAGACACGGUCCAGACUCCUACGGGAGGCAGCAGUGGGGAAUAUUGGACAAUGGGCGAAAGCCUGAUCCAGCCAUGCCGCGUGUGUGAAGAAGGUCUUCGGAUUGUAAAGCCCUUUUAGUUGGGAGGAAGGGCUGUAGGCUAAUACCUUGCUGGUUUGACGUUACCCAAAGAAUAAGCACCGGCUAACUUCGUG
RNAcentral lists this ribosomal RNA (484 nucleotides) under uncultured bacterium. RNAcentral's name for it is "partial 16S ribosomal RNA". It matches the Rfam family "Bacterial small subunit ribosomal RNA", at positions 29 to 507 of the family's 1533-position model. The record is from RNAcentral.